AGCUCCAAUAGCGUAUAUUAAAGUUGCUGCAGUUAAAAAGCUCGUAGUUGCAUUUCCGAGGCAAGGGAUUAGUCCGACCUUUGGUGGGUAUUUAAUCCUCUUGCCUCGUCCUUGAGUGGUGCUUCUUGGUAUUAAGUUAUCGAGGAGAUAGCCGCUCAUCGUUUACUGUGAGAAAAUUAGAGUGUUCAAAGCAGGCUUAUGCCGUUGAAUAUAUUAGCAUGGAAUAAUAAGAUAGGACCUCGGUACUAUUUUGGUGGUUUGAGAACCAAGGUAAUGAUGAAUAGGGACAGGUGGGGGUAUUCGUAUUCAGUUGUCAGAGGUGAAAUUCUUAGAUUUACGGAAGACGAACUACUGCGAAAGCAUUUACCAAGGAUGUUUUCA
RNAcentral lists this ribosomal RNA (381 nucleotides) under uncultured marine Chaetocerotaceae. Its description in RNAcentral is "SSU rRNA". It matches the Rfam family "Eukaryotic small subunit ribosomal RNA", at positions 587 to 972 of the family's 1831-position model. Lineage: Eukaryota; Bacillariophyta; Thalassiosirophyceae; Chaetocerotales; Chaetocerotaceae. The record is from RNAcentral.